UCCGUGCUGGGAACCAAAAGGGCUGUGUAGUGUAAUGGCAAAAAAAUGUGGUAGGGGGGUACUGAACCAAACAGAAGACUGGACAAAAUGGACAGAUGGACAUUUCCCUGUUGAUGGGACACUGAGCACAGAAAGAUUGGAGUCUGUGAGAGACCAACCUGAGAGUAAAGAAAGAAAACACAAGAAAGUUAAAGUGAAGUGGGACGAUUUCAGAAAGUGGGAGAGAGAAGCAGAAAAGGCAAAAGAUAAAGCUGUAAGAGGACUGAUGGUAAAGCAAGUGGAACCGGAGAAGAAAGAGGAAGAUUAAAAAAAGCCUUGGCUGGCCUUUCUCUGAGGGGAACCGUUUCAUGGGGCCCCCCUUGUAUCUGCCACUGCCAAAUCCUCCACCAGCAGACAGAGAUGGUGGCCUCCCAACCCCUCCUAACCCAGUUGGGGUUGGGCCUGUGCCAGGUGGAGCCGUGGGAUUAGGAGCUGUUGGAGGAGCUGCAGGUGCUGGAGCUGAAGACAGAAAGCUAACAGCAAAAACAGAGCGAAUGAGCAGAGAGGAACAGAGGAGAGGGAGAGUGAAGAAGAGGAGCUAGAAGAGCUCAGAAAAGAACUGGAGAAACGUAAGAGAAAAGAAGAAAGUAGAGAAACAAGAGGCAAAUUAAGGAGUGCACGCAGGAAGAAGAAAGUAGCCAAGAUGAAGAUAAAAGGAGCAGCAACGAAGGAAAAAGCAGAAAAGACUAUACAGAGAUAGUUCAACCGCUGCAGGAUUGUAUUUAUGGGAGAAAGAUGGAUGCAAUUGAAGUUGUGGUCUGGACGUAUGAGGCAGAGAUGGCAUUGGUGGAGCUGAGCACUGUUUGAGCCCAGGUGAUCUCGUGGUGGUCAAAGACUUCAGGAGAAAAAGUUGGAAGGACCUCUGUUGGAGAGGGCCGUACCAAGUUCUUCUGACCACCUCCACUGCAGUGAAGGUUGCUGAGAGAGACACCUGGAUCCACGUGUCGCACUGCUGAUGCGUUCCUGAUCCAGGAGAAGAUGAGGCCUCGCCAGUUCCGGUGGUGCAGUGUGGCCCUCCUCUGCAUUAGCACAGGAGUGCUAAUAAGAACAGUAGGUUGUCCUCUUGCUGGAAACCUGACAGAGGGUGAGCUAAGUCCCGAGCCAAAGGGGCCAACACCGGUCCGGAGUAGUGGCCCAGACGUAGAUGGUGAUCGUAGAAGGAGUCCUGAGCCAAAGGGACCAACGCAGGCCCAGAGUAGUGGCUCAGAAGUAGAUGAUCAUCGGAGAAGGAGAGCCCUGCUGGGCCUUCAUUACCAUGAGGACAAUCUGUUCAUCUCUAGAGCAGAAAUGGUUGCUAAUCUUACAUCUGGACAAAAAUAGUUUUGGGUUUGUGGGUUGGGGCCAGUUAAGGUAGGAGUUCCCAUAGGCCUAAAUCUGACUAUACAAAUGGACUUACCAUUCCUAGUAGAGAUGCCACGUAACCCUGACCCGAUGACGUUUUCUGCAUUAUACAACCACAUAGGCCCACCGUCGUUUGCUAGGCCAGAUAAUACUUUACUCCCACCCAUAUCAGUAGCAGGAGUGAUGACAGCCCCUUGGUGUAUUAGAGGAGAAGGAGGUAAUCAUUUGGGUGAACUAGAAUGUAUUUGUACAAUGUAUUACAAUGGGUCCAAUUCCUGUAAAUUAACUGUUAACAAUGCCGACACUGGAUGAGCUUCCUUAUCGCCCUGUAGAUAAGGACGAUGAGUGAGAAUUGAAGGUUGUUUUCAGUUGACAAGUUUAGAAGCCCCUAGUGGAUUUAUUAAACAACAGUUUUAUGUUUUGACUAGUCUCGGGGACAGUUGGUGCAGAACAGAUGUCACUGCAACCCGAUUGUGGUAAGAACUAUGUAAACAAUGGCUAAACAUUGAGAGAUUUAGUCAGCUCUGAGUCUACAGACCCCUUGUGUAUGUGUGUGUAUUUUAUAUUGUAAAACCCAGAAUGAAGGGUUUGAAAGGAUGAAGUGUCUGGUUAUAUAUGUUGGUUUCGCUUACUUUAAUAGAAAUAUUUUGAUAGAACCUCUGAUAGAAGCUAUAAUCUAAUGCUUACAUUAACAUUUUAAGAUAAUUAUCACAGAGUGAUAAGAGGAGGGAAUGUAAGAGAAAUUGUAUGUUUGUGUAUCAAAAUCAAUGCUACUUCUUGUAACCAAUUAGAUGGGUUCAUGCAGGUGACUGACUGAUCGUGUAUGGAGGAAUCCUCACUAUCACUGAUCCUCAACUUGGCAGUACGCCCAGAAUAUUGCUAUGGGAACAACCAAGGUAUCUCAGUUUCAAGGUCUCAACUUGGAGAGAGAGAGAGCCUCGUGAGGUAUUGGUCAGUCACAUGUGCAAGCCACCGGUAAUGAUGAAUUCAUUAAGCUAAAUCAUGCAAAUAUAACUUGUCUGUGUAUAGCCGUAUAUAAGGCAACUGCUGAGACUGCCCCAGCGGAGCUCAUGACAGACAUUCACUAUGGUGCAUUAAGUUUGUUGAAACCUCUCCAGCUAGCUGACAAAUAAAGACUGAUUCAUUUAAGAUUGA
Long non-coding RNA from Coregonus clupeaformis (lake whitefish), 2535 nucleotides. RefSeq lists it as uncharacterized. The transcript has 2 exons. NCBI's taxonomy places the organism in Eukaryota, Metazoa, Chordata, Actinopteri, Salmoniformes, Salmonidae. The record is from RefSeq and is a predicted model, not a curated record.